UCGUCACACUAUCAUUAACUGAAUCCAUAGGUUAAUGAGGCGAACCGGGGGAACUGAAACAUCUAAGUACCCCGAGGAAAAGAAAUCAACCGAGAUUCCCCCAGUAGCGGCGAGCGAACGGGGAGGAGCCCAGAGCCUGAAUCAGCAUGUGUGUUAGUGGAAGCGUCUGGAAAGGCGCGCGAUACAGGGUGACAGCCCCGUACACAAAAGCGCAUGUGCUGUGAGCUCGAUGAGUAGGGCGGGACACGUGGUAUCCUGUCUGAAUAUGGGGGGACCAUCCUCCAAGGCUAAAUACUCCUGACUGACCGAUAGUGAACCAGUACCGUGAGGGAAAGGCGAAAAGAACCCCGGCGAGGGGAGUGAAAAAGAACCUGAAACCGUGUACGUACAAGCAGUGGGAGCCCCACCACCAAAGCAUUUGCUGUACCGCGUUGACGGAGCGAAGCGACGUCAAACCGAUAAAACAGCAGUGUAAAGUGAGCCGCAGGGCGCUUUGCGCGACAGCGCAAAGGCAGGCGGUUUCG
This 524-nucleotide ribosomal RNA is filed under the name Salmonella enterica subsp. enterica serovar Enteritidis. RNAcentral's name for it is "partial 23S ribosomal RNA". The stretch from base 1 to 387 matches the Rfam family "Bacterial large subunit ribosomal RNA", at positions 140 to 565 of the family's 2925-position model. The record is from RNAcentral. Lineage: Bacteria; Pseudomonadati; Pseudomonadota; Gammaproteobacteria; Enterobacterales; Enterobacteriaceae.